CAACCUGCCGAUGACUCGGGGAUAGCCUUUCGAAAGAAAGAUUAAUACCCGAUGGCAUAGUUCUUCCGCAUGGUGGAACUAUUAAAGAAUUUCGGUCAUCGAUGGGGAUGCGUUCCAUUAGGUUGUUGGCGGGGUAACGGCCCACCAAGCCUUCGAUGGAUAGGGGUUCUGAGAGGAAGGUCCCCCACAUUGGAACUGAGACACGGUCCAAACUCCUACGGGAGGCAGCAGUGAGGAAUAUUGGUCAAUGGACGAGAGUCUGAACCANCCNNNUAGCGUGAAGGAUGACUGCCCUAUGGGUUGUAAACUUCUUUUAUACGGGAAUAAAGUGAGGCACGUGUGCCUUUUUGUAUGUACCGUAUGAAUAAGGAUCGGCUAACUCCGUGCCAGCAGCCGCGGUAAUACGGAGGAUCCGAGCGUUAUCCGGAUUUAUUGGGUUUAAAGGGAGCGUAGGCGGACGCUUAAGUCAGUUGUGAAAGUUUGCGGCUCAACCGUAAAAUUGCAGUUGAUACUGGGUGUCUUGAGUACAGUAGAGGCAGGCGGAAUUCGUGGUGUAGCGGUGAAAUGCUUAGAUAUCACGAAGAACUCCGAUUG
This 594-nucleotide ribosomal RNA is filed under the name uncultured Bacteroidota bacterium. RNAcentral describes it as "bacterial SSU rRNA". It matches the Rfam family "Bacterial small subunit ribosomal RNA", at positions 122 to 715 of the family's 1533-position model. Lineage: Bacteria; Pseudomonadati; Bacteroidota. The record is from RNAcentral.